GCUGAGUGUGGUAGUGCACGCCUGUAGUCCCAGCUACUUGGGAGGCUGAGGCAGGAGGAUGGCUUGAGCCCAGGAGGUCAGGCUGCAGUGAGCUGUGAUCAGGCCACUGCACUCCAGCCUGGGCAACAGAGUGAGACCCUGUCUUAA
This 147-nucleotide non-coding RNA is filed under the name Gorilla gorilla gorilla (western lowland gorilla). Lineage: Eukaryota; Metazoa; Chordata; Mammalia; Primates; Hominidae. The record is from Rfam by way of RNAcentral.